This is a transfer RNA of Loxodonta africana (African savanna elephant), 71 nucleotides long. It matches the Rfam family "tRNA". Rfam says of the family: Transfer RNA (tRNA) molecules are approximately 80 nucleotides in length. The record is from Rfam. Lineage: Eukaryota; Metazoa; Chordata; Mammalia; Proboscidea; Elephantidae.
GCAGUGGUGGUUCAGUGGUAGAAUUCUUGCCUUGCAGGCAGGAGACCUGGGUUCGAUUCCUGGCCAAUAUA